CCAGGGUCCCCAUUUUACAGGAAAGGGUUCCUUCUCCACAAAGGGACCUACACAGCUGGUUCUUCGUCCUCAGAUACAGUCUCUGCCCUGUCCUCUGGAGGCCAAUCCCUGCCGGCCCUGGGGUCCCUCCAUGACCUAUGGCUGCUCUGUUGGGGGUCAGCCAGGAGCAGCAGGGGGAAAUGACCUGACUGCCAGUUCCUGCCAGGGGCUGAACAACCCCACAGGCAGGUGGGGUGCCUGGCUCUGUCGAGGGAUCCGCAUGCCUUGACCGUACUCUCAGACCUGUCGAAUACCAGGCGCUGAAAAUCACCACGGGCAUUCAUGCCUGUCUCCGUGAGCAAAGCAAGGUUUGAGCGUGUGCCCCUUACCAGCGGUCCCAAAAGACACUCAACAAUACUGCCUAUUGUGCGGGGGUUGUUUGCAAGUUUCCCACCACACGGAAUCCCACUUGCUCUCACAGCAGAUUGUCAGUGACUCUUUGGGUGUGGGGAGCAUGAUUCCAGAGGUCUUCUGGGUGCACAGAAUUAAACAAUUUCAUGAGAAAGCAGAAAUUUCGACAGAUCCCCCUCAGGUGUGAAUUUCUUUGCAGCUCCACCACCUUUGCCGGCCUGCACUCAGUGCUGCAAUCAGAGGCAGGUAGAAAUCAAAUUAGCCUUUGAAGCCACAGAGCUCACGGACAAGGCAACCACUAUUGAGAGAAUCAGCCGGUUGUGUCAGUGUCCAGGAUCAGUGAAGCGAGGGACGAGUGGAGGUGAGAGCCCUAGAGAGAGAUGGAAGCUGCACUGGGGAGUGGGGAGAACCCCUCCCCCCAAGGGGCAUACUUGACUAAUGGCGUGGUGGUUAAGCUGCCUUCUAAUGGUGAACCCAGAUGAGCAGGGCCCUGGUUUGACUGAAUUGGAAUGUCCACAUUUGGGAUGUUGCCCCAGAGAUACUCCUUCUCCUUCCUUACCCCUCUGUCUCUCAAAUAUGGUGGACAGAUAUUAAAGAAAAUG
Long non-coding RNA from Zalophus californianus (California sea lion), 992 nucleotides. RefSeq lists it as uncharacterized. The record is from RefSeq and is a predicted model, not a curated record. The transcript is spliced from 4 exons. Lineage: Eukaryota; Metazoa; Chordata; Mammalia; Carnivora; Otariidae.